UACAGAGGGGGCAAGCGUUAUUCGGAAUCACUGGGCUUAAAGCGCGUGUAGGCGGGCCGCCGCGUCGGCUGCUGAAAUCCCCCGGCUCAACCGGGGAAGUGGCACCGAUACGGGCGGCCUGGAGGGGGGUAGGGGGGCCUGGAACUUCCGGUGGAGCGGUGAAAUGCGUUGAGAUCGGAAGGAACGCCCGUGGCGAAAGCGAGGCCCUGGACCCUUACUGACGCUGAGACGCGAAAGCCAGGGGAGCGAACGGG
RNAcentral lists this ribosomal RNA (254 nucleotides) under uncultured bacterium. RNAcentral's name for it is "partial 16S ribosomal RNA". It matches the Rfam family "Bacterial small subunit ribosomal RNA", at positions 524 to 776 of the family's 1533-position model. The record is from RNAcentral.